RNAcentral lists this ribosomal RNA (371 nucleotides) under uncultured bacterium. RNAcentral describes it as "bacterial SSU rRNA". It matches the Rfam family "Bacterial small subunit ribosomal RNA", at positions 30 to 396 of the family's 1533-position model. The record is from RNAcentral.
AUUGAACGCUGGCGGCAUGCCUUACACAUGCAAGUCGAACGGCAGCACGGGAGCAAUCCUGGUGGCGAGUGGCGAACGGGUGAGUAAUAUAUCGGAACGUGCCCGAGUCGUGGGGGAUAACGUAGCGAAAGCUACGCUAAUACCGCAUAACGAUCUAUGGAUGAAAGCGGGGGAUCGCAAGACCUCGCGCGAUUGGAGCGGCCGAUAUCAGAUUAGGUAGUUGGUGAGGUAAAGGGCUCACCCAAGCCGACGAUCUGUAGCUGGUCUGAGAGGACGACCAGCCACACUGGGACUGAGACACGGCCCAGACUCCUACGGGAGGCAGCAGUGGGGAAUUUUGGGACAAUGGGCGCAAGCCUGAUCCAGCAAUG